AGCUCCAAUAGCGUAUAUUAAAGUUGUUGCGGUUAAAAAGCUCGUAGUUGGAUCUGCGGUCAAAGAUGCAGGUCGCCCAUUGGGCUGUACUUGUUAUCUUGACCUAACUUACUGGUUUUGUCCUGGUGCACUUUACUGUGUGCCUUGACUGGCUAGUACUUUUACUUUGAAAAAAUUAGAGUGCUCAAUGCAGGCUUUUGCCUGAAUAGUGGUGCAUGGAAUAAUGGAAUAGGACCUCGGUUCUAUUUUGUUGGUUUUCGGAGCUCGAGGUAAUGAUUAAUAGGAACGGACGGGGGCAUUCGUACUGCUACGUUAGAGGUGAAAUUCUUGGAUCGUAGCAUGACGAACAACUGCGAAAGCAUUUGCCAAGAACGCUUUCA
Molecule: ribosomal RNA, 380 nt
Filed under: uncultured eukaryote
Lineage: Eukaryota
Description: SSU rRNA
Rfam family: Eukaryotic small subunit ribosomal RNA
Source: RNAcentral